ACAAUUGACAGAUUAUCUUGUAAAUAAAUAAAUCUAAAAAUCUAAAUAGUUAUCCUAACAAAACAAAGUCGGGAACAAUGGAUAAAAGCCAGAAGGAGAACAAAACUAAAAUUAAAAUAUGAAAGAAUAUGCAAUAAACAUUGUGUAAGUGAAAAGCCAGCCACUUUAAAAAGAUGUUCCAAACCAAAACAUGAGUUACCAAAGCAGGCAAUAAAAAGAAAAGGUGAACUAGAAUUCAAGAAAAGAGCUGAUGAAAGAAGUAAAUAUAAAGAAAAUAAUGCGGAGACUUCUCUCGACCAUGAACAAACACCAGAUAUUUUAUAUAUGCAGAAAAAGGAAAAACUGCUGGAACUUUAAUUUAAAGGCUUUUGACUAGUGAAGAUUUGGAUAAACAACAGGAGUUACUUUGGGCUAUAGCUACGUGCAAAUUUAUUUUCUUGUGGCUUCCUAUGUUUAUUCUUAUUAACUAUACACUUUGAUAUGUUUUUAGUCGCAUGAAGAUUUUAUAGUUUAUUAUUUUAUGUAUAUUGUUAUAUUUGUGUUGAAUAAACAUUAUUAUUAUUA
Molecule: long non-coding RNA, 564 nt
Filed under: Diabrotica virgifera virgifera (western corn rootworm)
Lineage: Eukaryota; Metazoa; Arthropoda; Insecta; Coleoptera; Chrysomelidae
Description: uncharacterized LOC126883166
Source: RNAcentral